UCCGGUGCGCGGUGGCGCGUGCCUGUAGUCCCAGCUACUCAGGAGGCUGAGGCUGGAGGAUCGCUUGAGCCCGGGAGUUCUGGGCUGUAGUGCGCUAUGCCCAUCGAGUGUCCGCACUAAGUUUGGCAUCAAAAUGAUGACCUCCUGGGAGCGGGGGAUGGUUACCUAAAGAGGGGUGAACCGGACCGGGUCCGAAACGGAGCAGGUCAAAACUCCGGUGCUGAUCAGUAGUGGGAUCGUGCCUAUAGCCAGUGCACUCCAGCCUGGCCAACACAGCGAGACCCUGUCUCU
This 291-nucleotide signal recognition particle RNA is filed under the name Saimiri boliviensis boliviensis (Bolivian squirrel monkey). RNAcentral's name for it is "Metazoan signal recognition particle RNA (ENSSBOG00000003919.1)". It matches the Rfam family "Metazoan signal recognition particle RNA". From Rfam's summary of the family: The signal recognition particle (SRP) is a universally conserved ribonucleoprotein. It is involved in the co-translational targeting of proteins to membranes. The eukaryotic SRP consists of a 300-nucleotide 7S RNA and six proteins: SRPs 72, 68, 54, 19, 14, and 9. The record is from RNAcentral. Lineage: Eukaryota; Metazoa; Chordata; Mammalia; Primates; Cebidae.